AGGCCUCUGACACAGGAGGGUUUGUUAGCCUGUCGACAGUAGCAAACAAGGGACGUGCAUUAUUAUUGUUUUUGGUGAUGAUGUCACGAGCUGCUGCGAUCCAGCAGGGAUUGAUGAUCGCCGCAGCGCAGGAGUGGAGGCCGCUGUGGCGCAGGAACUGGAGGUCGCUGCAGGUGAGCCGCUGGGCAGCGGAACAGGUGAGCAGGUGAGCCGCUGGGCAGCGGAACAGGUGAGCAGGUGAGCCGCUGGGCAGCGGAACAGGUGAGCAGGUGAGCAGCUGGGCAGCGGAGCAGGCGAACAACUGGGCAGCAGUGCAGGCGAGCCGCUGGUUUGCAGGCUGAUGACGGGCAGGCCGGGGUGCUGGCUGAUGACUGGCAAGAUGGGGUGCUGGUUGAUGACUGGCAGGCCGGAGUGUCGGCCGGUGACUGCGACCACCCAGAGCCAGGCGGGUGCCCCGGUAUGGGUUCGGAACUGUGGGCUGCUUCCCCAGCACCAGUGAUUACAGCCAAAGGAUACCGUUGCAGUCCUCCACCGAGCCAGGAGUGUUUUUGGCUGGACCACAGCAAAGUGGGACCAGCCCUAUAAAUGCAAAAGUGAAAGUGAUGAAAUUACGAUUGGUUGGUCAAGUGCUGGAGUUUCCCCAUUGGCCAUUGCUCUUUAAAAAUGAAUAGGCACGUGGUGAGUAUCACAAAAACCGGACAAUGGAGAUGAGAUUGAACAUAGUGGUGCCCUGUUUCCAGCUGUAAGCAGCAAGACUAGUCCAGACAUACAAGGCAAUUCCAAUGAUUAAAACAAAAACCAUAGACUACAUUUCUUUUGGACUAAUCUCCUGUAUUUUACCUGGAACGGAUUACCCUAACAGUGAGGCAGCACAUCCACCAAAGCUUCCAAAAGAAAAAAACAAUAUUCAUCCACGGACACAGAGGACCUACAGACGACAGAGAUCAAGAUGAACCUGAGUCAGACAGGGAAAGUUUUGAGGGAGUCUUUGCAGGGACCUCUGUGGAGACAGCUCUUCAAGAAGAGGGUGAAGGUGAAGGGAGCGGACGCCAGUCUCAUGAGUAAUGAGGAGUGACGAGAACAAAACUCAGGUGCUGGAUGAUAACAGGAGGAAGGGACUGGAUCCCCGCUUCACUCAUCACCGUAUCACUUCUGGACAAUAAAGAAUAACUAAAAGAAUAGCUCCUGCAUCCAGGAGUAAGCAGGAAUACUUUGUUCCAGAGAACAAGGAGGAAGAGGAAAUGAUGGCUGCAGCUGACGUUUAACAGGUUGUUGUUGUUAUUGUUGUUCUAUUGUUCUGCUAUUAUUCUCUGUGUUUACUUAUUGUUACCUUUAUUAGAUCUUUGAAUUAUGUGAUGUACUUUUUGAAACUUUUGAAAUUAUUGAAAACAUUUGCAUAUUCAUAGAUUAUGUAUUUUUCAAUGAAGGAGAAGGAAUAUGUGUAAUUUAAAGGAUUUUAACAAUGACACAUUUAAAGGAAUAUUUUUAUGAUCAUAAUCUGUCAUAUCCUUGUAACUGCCAUAAAUCUUAAGUAGAUACCUGUUAAGUUCUGACCAUAUUCUCUAUAAGGGUUACAUUUUUGACCAUAGCACAGUGAUAUCUGUAUAGAAGAUAUUCUGUACUGUUACUGUCACACAACGCAGAAGUAAAUUGGCUCUAGAUUCUAGCAGUGGUCUCAAUCCAGACUGAUAUCAGGGCAGAAGUAAAAGCAUUUGGUGGAUUCAGUCAUAUCAUGGAAUAUUCAUUAUAUGAUUAUUAGUCAUAUAUGAAAGCAUCCUCCUCUUAAAUAGACAUUACCAUAUAUGAAUCAAGACAUAUAAGUCAUUUAAAAGAAAUUACUUAUUUUUUUUGUGCUUCAAAAUAUGACUACAGGUCAUAUCUGAAAUGUAAAUUCCAAUGGUAUCAAAGUAGUUCCAAUCUGGAAAUAGAUAUGAUCUGGAUAUAAGUCAUAAAUGGUGAGCAUCCUCAGUAAUUUUUAUCAGGUUGGAAUGAUAUCUUAGAGACAUAUACCUAUUAGUAUAACUUGCCUUCUGUGUAACGUAUGUCUACAAAAGAAAUGUUACGUGUGGUGCAUUCACAAUAGGACUACAAGCCAAUUCAAACAAUAUAUCAACUCCAUAUUUUAAUAGUAUCAAAGUACUCCCAGUCCGGAGUUUGAUAUAAUCCGAACAUGAGUUAAAACCAGGGCGCCCCAGCACCCACCUACAUGAACUCCCUUACUGCUUGAAGACCUCUUCCGAGAGUACUUAAUCGCCUAAAAUGCUCAGAAUGGAGGUAAGUGUUGUUUGCCUGGUGUUUAUUUUUUUGAAAAUCGGAUGCUUAAUACUGUGACUAGACUAUAAGGUAAUACAUGAAAGGCACAAACUGUGGCUAGUCCUCAGUUAACUUUAUUUAAUGCAAUUCUUAAGAAUAAGCUAAGUGUAAAUGCAUCCAAGUAGCAUUUGAGAUUAACUGAAAUAUGAUUGCUCAAAGAGGUGGCUUGAGAUACAUUCUAGCCAGAUUCUGAAAAGGUUUCUCUCCAAGACACAUACGUAGUCUUCCCUCCUAACUGAACCUAAGCUGUCUGUGGAAGUAGCAAUUCACAGCGUCCGUCUCCUGUGGAAAUGACAACUGUAGUUACACUGAAAUUAACCGUCGUUCUCUCUGUUGCUUGAGACAGAGAGAAAAGCAGGACCAGUAGUUUCAGCACAUACUGAAAGCACACUGAGCUGUUGUAGUGGAACCGGCUGGUUAAAAGGAUACGACCCUUAGCAUUUCAUGUGUGUGGUUUAGCCAAUGACAUGGAUUACCGCAUCAUGUGCAGAGGAUAAAUAACUCACAGUAGCUUCCCUCUUCCGCGGCUGUGUGAGCCUC
Long non-coding RNA from Siniperca chuatsi (mandarin fish), 2853 nucleotides. RefSeq lists it as uncharacterized. The transcript has 4 exons. The record is from RefSeq and is a predicted model, not a curated record. Lineage: Eukaryota; Metazoa; Chordata; Actinopteri; Centrarchiformes; Sinipercidae.